GACGAACGCUGGCGGCGUGCUUAACACAUGCAAGUCGAGCGGUAAGGCCCUUUCGGGGUACGACGAGCGGCGAACGGGUGAGUAACACGUGGGUGACCUGCCCUCAGCUCUGGGAUAAGCCUGGGAAACUGGGUCUAAUACUGGAUAUGACUCCACGGUGCAUGUCGUGGGGUGGAAAGCCUUGUGCGGCUGAGGAUGGGCCCGCGGCCUAUCAGCUUGUUGGUGGGGUGANGGCCUACCAAGGCGACGACGGGUAGCCGGCCUGAGAGGGCGACCGGCCACACUGGGACUGAGACACGGCCCAGACUCCUACGGGAGGCAGCAGUGGGGAAUAUUGGACAAUGGGCGCAAGCCUGAUCCAGCGAUGCCGCGUGUGUGAAGAAGGCCUGC
This 390-nucleotide ribosomal RNA is filed under the name uncultured bacterium. RNAcentral's name for it is "bacterial SSU rRNA". It matches the Rfam family "Bacterial small subunit ribosomal RNA", at positions 28 to 419 of the family's 1533-position model. The record is from RNAcentral.